This 64-nucleotide transfer RNA is filed under the name Engaeus lyelli. RNAcentral's name for it is "tRNA-Asn". The record is from RNAcentral. Lineage: Eukaryota; Metazoa; Arthropoda; Malacostraca; Decapoda; Parastacidae.
UUUGGUAGAAGUCAAAAAAGCGACUUAUCACUGUUAAUGAUUGAAUUGGAUCCAUCCCUGCCAA